RNAcentral lists this long non-coding RNA (1037 nucleotides) under Triticum aestivum (bread wheat). Its description in RNAcentral is "long non-coding RNA (TAES_LNC012169)". The record is from RNAcentral. Lineage: Eukaryota; Viridiplantae; Streptophyta; Magnoliopsida; Poales; Poaceae.
GCUCGAUCUUGUCGAUGUUCUGACCCGUGUGCUUGGCGUAGAUCUUGUUGAGGCGGUCGCGCAGCUUGAGGAUCUCCUUGGCCUGGAUGGCGAUGUCGGUGGCCUGGCCCUGGGCCCCGCCGGAGGGCUGGUGGAUCAUGACCCUGGCGUUGGGCAGCGCCCGCCUCUCCCCGCGCGCGCCGGCGGCGAGCAGGAGCGACCCCAUGGAGGCGGCCUGGCCGAUGCAGAUGGUGUUGACCGGGCAGCGGAUGUACUGCAUGGUGUCGUAGAUGGCGAGCCCGGCGGUGACGACGCCCCCGGGGGAGUUGAUGUAGAGGCUGAUGGGCUUGAGCGGGUUCUCGGACUCGAGGAAGAGCAGCUGCGCGACGACGAGCGAGGCCGUCUCGUCGGCGAUGGGCCCGUGGAUGCAGACGAUCCGCUCCUUGAGCAGGCGCGAGAAGAUGUCGUAGGCGCGCUCCCCGCGGGAGGUGGUCUCGACGACCAUGGGCACGAGGCCGUACUCCCGGACGGAGGAGUAGCCCUCCGGCUCCGGCGGCUGGUAGGGCGCGGAGGAGAAGAAGGCCCGCGGCGGGGCGGCGACGGCGAGCCGGCGCGGCGCGGGCCCGAACGGGCCCGGGCUGGCCGAGUUGGGCCUGGACCUGGGCCUGGGCGCGAAGGCGGGCAGCGGGGAGGCGCCGGCUAGGUUGGCGACGGCGGAGGGCGUCAUGGCUGCUGCUGGUCCUGGGGCGUCCGGGGUGCGGAUUUGUGGUCGGAUGUGAGGCGGAAAUAGCAAGGGAGGACUUAUACCAAGGAAGGGGAACGGGGUGAGGAGAGUGUGAAACGGAGGAAACGGAUAGGGCGAGACGAGACGUCGAGACGGUGGUUGCGCUUCGAUCCGCCGGAUCGGAUCUUUUCUUCUCUUCUCUUCUCCUCUCCUUCUCUCCGUGGGGUGGGGUGGAGUGGGGGAUCGGUGUUCCUCUCCCUGCCUUUGUUGCUUCUCCGUCUGAGCUUUCGCUUGUUUUCCAAGAAAGAAUUUAUUUUUUUCUGACACAAAGAAC